GAAAGAAAGUUCUUUGUUCUCACAUUUCGUUGGAUGAUUAGUAAGUCCGCCGUCCUGUGGUACGCAAUAGCAAUUUAUUUUUCCACGCUAUAAGCGCCUGAAAGGCGAAGAUUUACACAAUAUUUAGAUAUUUAGGAAAUAGACAUGUCUAACAAAGCUACUGGCACAGUUAAGUGGUUCAACGAAACUAAAGGCUUCGGUUUCAUCCAACAAGAAAACGGUCCUGACGUUUUCGCUCACUUCUCUGCAAUCCAAGGUGACGGCUUCCGUACUCUUGUUGAAGGCCAGAAAGUAGAAUUCGAAAUCACUCAAGGUCAAAAAGGUCCACAAGCUGAGAAAAUCACUCUAGUUUAAGACUUAUAGAUUUUGAUAUAGUAGCCAGCUUUUAGCUGGCUAUUUUU
Molecule: unclassified non-coding RNA, 401 nt
Filed under: Vibrio rotiferianus
Lineage: Bacteria; Pseudomonadati; Pseudomonadota; Gammaproteobacteria; Vibrionales; Vibrionaceae
Description: cspA
Rfam family: cspA thermoregulator
Source: RNAcentral